GGAGGUGGUUCCAGUUAUGGAUUAUUUGUUUGAUCCUGCGUGAGGUUUCUAUCUGACUUCUGUUUCCCCCACUUUGCAGAUAACACCUCUGCAUGAAAGAGCUGCUUAAGCCAAAGGUACCAGCCAAGGAGCCUGUAGGUGGAGGUCAGAGGCCCUGCUUGAAGUCCUGCAUGGGAGAAGCAGCUUCCCCCACAUUUUGAGGAUGUGUGUUUUCUUCUUGAACUUCUUUAAAACAUUUUCUGUUUGUUUUUGUACUUUUGUUAUAACUGCUUCUCAGUAAGCUGAGUGUACUAUGUAAAGGUCCUAUAUAAAUAAGUUGGUAGUGGUGGUGAUGAUGACAACAAUUAUAUUGUUAUAUAGUUGUUUUUUAUUCUUCCAGAAGUCAAAUCCUCUGAAGAUGGACAUUGUAGCUAUGUCCAGAAGCUUAGGUUCUCAGAAGAACUAUGGAACACGGCACAGCAGCCCAAAAACUACUACAGAUGAGCCUGAACCUGGCUGUGAAAGCCUACAUUCUACCAUAUUCACCAAAAGUUGUGUUGCCCCACAGGGUGAUUUUAGGAGGUUGGAAUCCAGCUCUAUGUAAGAGCAAAGGGAGAAGGAGGAACAGAUGGACUGCAGCAGCAGUAGCAGCUAUAUAGAAAGUAGGUUAAUGACUUGCUUGGCUGGCUCUCCUGCGACACUGGAUCUUAAGGGUACCACAAACCCAUCCCAGAUAGAAUCUGGCAGCACCUCUGCUGAAAGAAAGUUACCUUUGUCUAAUUCUAUGCCUUAAUGCAAAUGUGUGAAUCCGAGCCUAGGAGGAAAGCGUGAUGUCUUGGGAUAAGGUUUUCUUAAUGCUUCUUUCAGCCUGCAGCUGCUGGGAGACCAGAAUUUUAUGGACUGGAAAAGCAUGCUUGGGGCUGAUUAGCAGAACUGAAGGAUGCUAAGCUAGAAAAAAGCAAUUAGAGAAAGCUUUGCUGCCCUUGUGCAUAUGUGCACCACUGUUCA
Molecule: long non-coding RNA, 987 nt
Filed under: Salvator merianae (Argentine black and white tegu)
Lineage: Eukaryota; Metazoa; Chordata; Lepidosauria; Squamata; Teiidae
Description: lncRNA (ENSSMRG00000000085.1)
Source: RNAcentral